Rhododendron vialii is the source of this 2817-nucleotide RNA transcript. RefSeq lists it as uncharacterized. The record is from RefSeq and is a predicted model, not a curated record. Lineage: Eukaryota; Viridiplantae; Streptophyta; Magnoliopsida; Ericales; Ericaceae. The transcript is spliced from 4 exons.
AUUUUUAUUACGUCUUCGAUUUGUUAGCGUUUGCGCCUUAAACAUCUCUCUCUCUCCCUCUCUCUCUCUCUCUCUCUCUCUCUCAUAUUCCGAAAUGGAGCCGGUAGCUUCAGCUGUGGAUAAACUCAAAGAAUUUGCGAAAUCAACUCAAGAUUUCGCAAACGGUGUCGUCUCCCACUGGACCGGCAAUCCCAAUCGCCGCAAUCCGAUUGAAAUCUUGAAGCGGUUGCAACGAGAAGCAUUUUCAGAUCUCAUGAAACUCAGGGACAGACAAGACAAGGUGGAGCGAAUUCUUUCGUUCUACAAGUCUUCAAAAGGAAGCCCAUUCCAAGAAGCUAGUACCCAUGUAAGGGGAGAGGUUGAUGUCUUGGGUGCUUUAUUGUUUAUGGAUAAUGAUAGCCAGCAGAAUUUUAGUGCAAUAAGGAGAGCUGGAAUGAGGACGGGUGUUCAUUCAAGGUUGACUUUUGAAACCACCAUUCGGGAGAAAGACACUCUAGUUACAGAGUUUGUAUCUAAUGUAACAGGCCACGAUGAUGUUUUAGGUAGCCCCCUUUCCCUGGCGAAAGUGUUAUAUGCUGCAAAUAUUAGUGACUGGUUCUCUGUGGCUGCUAUUCCAGUGGGAGCUCAUUGCCGAGAUGUUGGAAUUUCUACGAAUUCUCUUCAUCAGAAAAAGGCCCUUACCAAUUACUCAUCAUUGGGACCACCUCUGUUGAAUCUAUGUAAUGGUAGUGCCAUUGGAUUGAUGGUGAGAAAAUCAAACAUCGUUGCUUCUUUGGCUCAAUUUGUCAGUGGACUAGGAAUGCAGCCCGGUUCAGUCGGAUUCUCGCAGUGUUUCAGCACUUUUGGGCAAGUUGUCUGUCAACUUUCAAGAAGUACAAAGCUCUCGCUUCUGGGUAUUCACCAAGUGCCUAAAUUUUCCGGUCAAGAAGUCUGUCUAGGAGCCCUAGCUAUACCUGUUGGCAUUUUUAGACGUCAUAAUAUUUCUGAAAUGACCCGAGAGGCAUCUGCUCCCGUCAUUGGGGCACAAACAUCAGAAAAUGUACCGACAGGAUCUAUUGCCCUGAUGCUGGAGUCAGAGCUUGAUGAGAGCACUAGAAUUGGAGGUUGGUUCGAGAUGAAAAGAUAUAAUCCCAGACAUCUAGAGUGGGCUGUGUCAAUUGCUGAUACUCCUGACGAUGAAUUUGGAUGGGGUUUGAGUUUAGGUGGGUUGAUACAAGGUCCCAAAAGUUGGGACCAUUUUCAGGUUGAAACCUUUCUGAACUUCAACUUUGGAAAAAGAUUCAGCUUGCAGCCAGCUCUCAUAUAUGUGAUGGAUGGGUCUACCCAAUUUGCUUCCCUCAUGCUUCGGUCUAAUUGGUCCCUGUAAUCACUCUCUUGCGUUUCCCCUGUUAGAUGAUUAGGUUUACCAUUUCUUGGACACGUGGCCCCCACUAAUGCUAAUUUUUGUCUCUGCCACUUACAACAAAGGGAGUCCGGACUCUGUACAUCCCGUUGGUCCAUGUAAUUGAACCAAACACAUCUUCCUCUGGUGAUGUCUCAGAUGUGAAAGUCACUUCAUAGCUUAGCUUCUUAUUUUCCUUCGUGAACUGUAGUUUCUGCGGUAUCACUUUCACUUCCCAUCCGGGAGGCACUUCCACGGUUGCAGUGUAAACUGUUUCUUCACACACACCAACAUUUGUGGCUGUUCUCACAACUCUCCUGCUCUCUUUUCCCUUGAAAUUGGAUACUGCUAUUGACGGGUAGUUCAUGUCGGAGAUGUGAUCAGCACUUCGUUCCUUAGGUUACAUAAAGCUGUCUGGGAUUUCUACCACAAUCAGCUUUAUUUCAGGUAUGCCAUACCCGUAGUUACAGAAAAAAUGCAAGUAGUCAACUGUGUUGGUCUCAUAAAUUAAGCCCAGUUGCAGCGGUCCUGUUGUGGUUACUUGCCCUGCACCAUAAUCGUAAGGCGUGGCAACUGAUUCUGAAUCUGUUGUUAUUAGGCCCUUCAUGUUUUUGGUUUGACUAGCUGCGGAAAAGCUCAAAAGGUUGUCAUUUGUCAGUAGACUUGUAGAAUCAGCAUCUUUUCUGUUCAGCUGUUGUUGCAGAAUCAGUUUUUGCAAAUUUGUUUUGGAAACCUAGUUUGCUUGACGAAUUUGGAAACCUAACUACAAUAUUCCGAGAACUACUAGCGUAUGUGUUUUUAAAAAUUAUUGAAUUUUUUUCUGAAAGACAGAUUCAGCAUGUUGUUAUGUACUAACCUGUUGUCAUGAUAGCUGAUUUGAUAGCAGAGGGACUCCAAGAGGGAUACUGAGACUUUACUGCGGCAGCGAUUCCCGCAAUGUGUGGGCACGACAUGGAAGUUCUUGAGAGCAGAUAAAACAGCGGUGGGUCCUUGUUCUCGAGCGCCUCUAACGUGUCGUUUGCUGGCCAAGCUGCAAGAAUGUCAACUCCUGGUGCCGCAAUAUCAGGCCACGGGAAAACCCAAUUCAGAAAAGCCAAAUAACCAAUGAAUUCUCAGUUUAGAAGUCAAAAGCAAAGAUGGAAGAGGAAUCAAGAUGGUUUACUGCGUGCCUUGAGAAGUUGCUUUAGUUUGAAUGCAGGACCUCUAGAUGAGAAGGCGGCUACUAUAGGAGCUGGCUUAUAUUGUGUAACCGUAACCGUUGGAAGAAUCGUUGCAACUGGAUUCCUUCGGAAAUUUUCAAGAGAUUAAAGGUUAGUGGCAAAUUCCUUGAAACAAUGAACACAUUUUUUCUUUUAAAAAAUUGGCGACGAGUUUUUACGUGCUGGAAUGAAUGUAUAAGAGUAAUUCAGUGGCAUCAUCUUCAGUGAUUAUGGAAA